This 229-nucleotide ribosomal RNA is filed under the name uncultured bacterium. Its description in RNAcentral is "partial 16S ribosomal RNA". It matches the Rfam family "Bacterial small subunit ribosomal RNA", at positions 568 to 796 of the family's 1533-position model. The record is from RNAcentral.
CACGUAGGCGGUCCGUCAAGUGUCUUGUGAAAGCCCUCGGCCCAACCGAGGAAUUGCAGGGCAAACUGACGGACUUGAGGCAGGUAGGGGCGCACGGAACUCUUGGUGGAGCGGUGGAAUGCGUAGAUAUCAGGAGGAACGCCGGUGGCGAAAGCGGUGCGCUGGGCCUGUCCUGACGCUGAGGUGCGAAAGCCAGGGGAGCGAACAGGAUUAGAUACCCUGGUAGUCC